GCUCACAGGUUCUUUCCCUGACGUACAGAGCAAUGAAGUUCACAGAGCUGUGCUUACAGAGACAGGUAAAACCCUUCUCCACCAGCUUGCGGGCAGGCACGCUUCCCUUGCCAGAUGACUUUUGAAGAUACUACUCACUGAAAUCACAGGUUUUCUGGUCUUUAUAUUUCACUGGAUCAAAUUACCGUCCUGUCACCAGCAAAUGUGUUUUCUUUAUUCACUGGAUCUAAAGAUGUUGAAAUUUAUUUCUUUCUUUCCAUCCUUCAGCUGGUAGCUACAUAGGGAUACCCUUCAAUCCAUCAGCUGGCCCACUGUGGCAGCAGUAUCCAUGGCUCAGUUUUUCACGCUCUUGGGAUAUGAUCUUCUACAGACCCGUUACUUCUGGCUCUGGAGAUGAUUUGGAAGUAGAGACACUGCUGACUCAAAGCUGACUUCUGUGGAAAGCCAUGCGGUGACUCCAGGAAUACGGCUGCCCGUACCACAUCCUCUCUCUGGGGUGGUUCUGCCAGCUGGCUCGUGGAGUGGUGCCAAGCUCGUGAUGCUGACCACAACCUGCAACGCAAUUGGCCCUUUCAGCCAGCGUGAAGUUCCCUGCAGAUCUGGAUGGAAGUGUCCUUCCAUGAGGAUGCUCACGCUAGUUAAGUAGUGCGUUCAUUAAGUUCAGCUGGUUGAGGGGAAAAGGGAAAAAAAAAAAAGCAGAUGGUAGCAGUUCACAUGUGAAGGGUACUCUUUGAUAUAUAUUUUCUACUGUAAAAUUUCUAUUUAAUCUAUUUACAACAUUAAGCUACCUAUACGGGACUGCGUUCUGUGAUAAAAGGGGGUUUCUGCUGAGCUCCCAAAAUAUGACUGACAUCUUGUUUGCUUUGGGCAAACAACAGUUCCUUUGACAAAGGGAUUCAUGUUAUGAUUGUCAGAAUAAAGCUCUCUGAAGUGAUUCUGACUCUCAGAUGUUAAUUACUUAGGUGGAGGGAAUUGAAACAGAACAUCUAAAACUGAUAUUAUUAUUAUUACAUAUACAAACAUGUGUUGCACAGGAA
RNAcentral lists this long non-coding RNA (1037 nucleotides) under Falco tinnunculus (common kestrel). RNAcentral's name for it is "lncRNA (ENSFTIG00000012173.1)". The record is from RNAcentral. Lineage: Eukaryota; Metazoa; Chordata; Aves; Falconiformes; Falconidae.